This 70-nucleotide non-coding RNA is filed under the name Thermoactinomyces daqus. The record is from RNAcentral. Lineage: Bacteria; Bacillati; Bacillota; Bacilli; Caryophanales; Thermoactinomycetaceae.
AGGCGAAACAAGGGGCUGCGGCUCCUUGUCCGGGCAGUGUGGCGACUGCCCGCUGAUGAGCCAGCCCCGC